This 70-nucleotide transfer RNA is filed under the name Morganella morganii. Its description in RNAcentral is "tRNA-Val". It matches the Rfam family "tRNA". Rfam says of the family: Transfer RNA (tRNA) molecules are approximately 80 nucleotides in length. Their secondary structure includes four short double-helical elements and three loops (D, anti-codon, and T loops). Further hydrogen bonds mediate the characteristic L-shaped molecular structure. tRNAs have two regions of fundamental functional importance: the anti-codon, which is responsible for specific mRNA codon recognition, and the 3' end, to which the tRNAs corresponding amino acid is attached (by aminoacyl-tRNA synthetases). tRNAs cope with the degeneracy of the genetic code in two manners: having more than one tRNA (with a specific anti-codon) for a particular amino acid; and 'wobble' base-pairing, i.e. permitting non-standard base-pairing at the 3rd anti-codon position. The record is from RNAcentral. Lineage: Bacteria; Pseudomonadati; Pseudomonadota; Gammaproteobacteria; Enterobacterales; Morganellaceae.
UUAGCUCAGUUGGUAGAGCAUCUCCCUUACAAGGAGGGGGUCACUGGUUCGAGCCCGGUAUCGCCCACCA